CCAAUAGCGUAUAUUAAAGUUGUUGCAGUUAAAAAGCUCGUAGUUGAAUUUUAGGCCUGGCCGGGCGGUCCGUCUUUGGCGAGUACUGUCCUGUGUCGGGUCCACCUUCUGGUGAACCAGUAUGUCCUUUAUUGGGUGUGCCGGGGAGCCAGGACCAUUACCUUGAAAAAAUUAGAGUGUUUAAAGCAGGCAUUUGCUUG
This 200-nucleotide ribosomal RNA is filed under the name uncultured Glomus. Its description in RNAcentral is "partial small subunit ribosomal RNA". It matches the Rfam family "Eukaryotic small subunit ribosomal RNA", at positions 591 to 797 of the family's 1831-position model. RNAcentral also lists the same sequence under 1 other name. The record is from RNAcentral. Lineage: Eukaryota; Fungi; Glomeromycota; Glomeromycetes; Glomerales; Glomeraceae.